UGAGUAAAGUUUUAGAAGAAAAAAAAAAGCAGUGUUUUUAUUUUUUGUUUAUCGGUGUCAUCUUUUCUCUUUCAUCAUCGAGAAAGAGUUUCAUCUUGAUUGAGGAAGAUACUCUUCAUACAUCCAUCUAGAUCAAUAUCUGAAUUUUUUGGCUUGAUUGAGGAAGAUUUUUGGCUUGUAUAGAUCAGUAUGAUGGCCAAAUCUGAAAUUUUUAGUGGCCUGUGUUCGUGUGGGUUUCGGUGAAUUUGAACAUGAUGAAUCGAGUAUUCGGGAAACCCAAGCAGGAGUCUAAUCUUAAUGAGGUUGUUUAAAGAACUCCGCCGCCAAAAAGGCUCAAGUCCGACGCUGGAGGCAGCCCAAUCUCCGCCAACGCCUCUGGUUCCAGCAAGCAGAUAGUCAUAUACGAAGAUUCUCCUCUUCCUGCUCCUGCUCUGCUACAAACUUUGAGUGAUCAUUCCGAUCAACACCUUUGCACCUAUCAAUGUCGUAUACUCUCUUCUGGAGUUAUACUCUACAACAAGUGAAGGAGCUCGAAAUGACAACAGUUCG
This is a long non-coding RNA of Camelina sativa (false flax), 549 nucleotides long. RefSeq lists it as uncharacterized. The record is from RefSeq and is a predicted model, not a curated record. Lineage: Eukaryota; Viridiplantae; Streptophyta; Magnoliopsida; Brassicales; Brassicaceae.